CGCAGUGGGGGGGCUAUAAUGCAGUCGAGCGGACAGAUGGGAGCUUGCUCCCUGAUGUUAGCGGCGGACGGGUGAGUAACACGUGGGUAACCUGCCUGUAAGACUGGGAUAACUCCGGGAAACCGGGGCUAAUACCGGAUGGUUGUCUGAACCGCAUGGUUCAGACAUAAAAGGUGGCUUCGGCUACCACUUACAGAUGGACCCGCGGCGCAUUAGCUAGUUGGUGAGGUAACGGCUCACCAAGGCGACGAUGCGUAGCCGACCUGAGAGGGUGAUCGGCCACACUGGGACUGAGACACGGCCCAGACUCCUACGGGAGGCAGCAGUAGGGAAUCUUCCGCAAUGGACGAAAGUCUGACGGAGCAACGCCGCGUGAGUGAUGAAGGUUUUCGGAUCGUAAAGCUCUGUUGUUAGGGAAGAACAAGUGCCGUUCAAAUAGGGCGGCACCUUGACGGUACCUAACCAGAAAGCCACGGCUAACUACGUGCCAGCAGCCGCGGUAAUACGUAGGUGGCAAGCGUUGUCCGGAAUUAUUGGGCGUAAAGGGCUCGCAGGCGGUUUCUUAAGUCUGAUGUGAAAGCCCCCGGCUCAACCGGGGAGGGUCAUUGGAAACUGGGGAACUUGAGUGCAGAAGAGGAGAGUGGAAUUCCACGUGUAGCGGUGAAAUGCGUAGAGAUGUGGAGGAACACCAGUGGCGAAGGCGACUCUCUGGUCUGUAACUGACGCUGAGGAGCGAAAGCGUGGGGAGCGAACAGGAUAGAUACUGGGGAGAAUCCAAA
RNAcentral lists this ribosomal RNA (779 nucleotides) under Bacillus velezensis. Its description in RNAcentral is "bacterial SSU rRNA". It matches the Rfam family "Bacterial small subunit ribosomal RNA", at positions 34 to 799 of the family's 1533-position model. The record is from RNAcentral. Lineage: Bacteria; Bacillati; Bacillota; Bacilli; Caryophanales; Bacillaceae.